RNAcentral lists this transfer RNA (74 nucleotides) under Thermotoga neapolitana. RNAcentral describes it as "tRNA-Gln". It matches the Rfam family "tRNA". Rfam says of the family: Transfer RNA (tRNA) molecules are approximately 80 nucleotides in length. Their secondary structure includes four short double-helical elements and three loops (D, anti-codon, and T loops). Further hydrogen bonds mediate the characteristic L-shaped molecular structure. tRNAs have two regions of fundamental functional importance: the anti-codon, which is responsible for specific mRNA codon recognition, and the 3' end, to which the tRNAs corresponding amino acid is attached (by aminoacyl-tRNA synthetases). tRNAs cope with the degeneracy of the genetic code in two manners: having more than one tRNA (with a specific anti-codon) for a particular amino acid; and 'wobble' base-pairing, i.e. permitting non-standard base-pairing at the 3rd anti-codon position. The record is from RNAcentral. Lineage: Bacteria; Thermotogati; Thermotogota; Thermotogae; Thermotogales; Thermotogaceae. RNAcentral also lists the same sequence under 1 other name.
UGGGGCGUGGCCAAGUGGUAAGGCGGCGGACUUUGGAUCCGCGAUCGGUGGUUCGAAUCCACCCGCCCCAGCCA